This 460-nucleotide ribosomal RNA is filed under the name uncultured bacterium. RNAcentral's name for it is "partial 16S ribosomal RNA". It matches the Rfam family "Bacterial small subunit ribosomal RNA", at positions 338 to 795 of the family's 1533-position model. The record is from RNAcentral.
CCUACGGGGUGCAGCAGUGAGGAAUAUUGGUCAAUGGGCUUACGCCUGAACCAGCCAAGUCGCGUGAGGAAAGACUGCCCUAUGGGUUGUAAACCUCUUUUGUCAGGGAGCAACGCCGGCUACGUGUAGCCGGACUGAGAGUACCUGAAGAAAAAGCAUCGGCUAACUCCGUGCCAGCAGCCGCGGUAAUACGGAGGAUGCGAGCGUUAUCCGGAUUUAUUGGGUUUAAAGGGUGCGUAGGCGGAAUGCCAAGUCAGCGGUAAAAUCGCGGGGCUCAACCUCGCUCCGCCGUUGAAACUGGCGUUCUUGAGUGGGCGAGAAGUAUGCGGAAUGCGCAGUGUAGCGGUGAAAUGCUUAGAUAUUGCGCAGAACUCCGAUUGCGAAGGCAGCAUACCGGCGGCGAUCUGACGCUGAGGCACGAAAGCGUGGGUAUCGAACAGGAUUAGAUACCCGGGUAGUC